AGAAACGUCUCCAGAGAAUGUGCCUCACAUUUCGAGUGAAGCCGAAGUGGUUCGCCGAGGUACACUGGACAUUGUGCAAAGGAGUUCUGCGUGCAACAUAUCGGGUACAGCCUCACAUGCAGCUCUGUUGGCCAGAAUAAACGCUCUGGAACGACAGCUGACUAUUGCGAAGGCUAAGGCGAGGGUGAAAGAGCGGGAGCACAAGAA
Rhipicephalus microplus (southern cattle tick) is the source of this 207-nucleotide long non-coding RNA. The record is from RefSeq and is a predicted model, not a curated record. NCBI's taxonomy places the organism in Eukaryota, Metazoa, Arthropoda, Arachnida, Ixodida, Ixodidae.